UUCGCCCUUAGAGUUUGAUCCUGGCUCAGAGCGAACGCUGGCGGCAGGCUUAACACAUGCAAGUCGAACGGGCUUCUUCGGAAGUCAGUGGCAGACGGGUGAGUAACACGUGGGAACGUGCCCUUCGGUUCGGAAUAACUCAGGGAAACUUGAGCUAAUACCGGAUACGCCCUUAUGGGGAAAGGUUUACUGCCGAAGGAUCGGCCCGCGUCUGAUUAGCUUGUUGGUGGGGUAACGGCCUACCAAGGCGACGAUCAGUAGCUGGUCUGAGAGGAUGAUCAGCCACACUGGGACUGAGACACGGCCCAGACUCCUACGGGAGGCAUCAGAAGGG
This 334-nucleotide ribosomal RNA is filed under the name uncultured Methylobacterium sp. RNAcentral's name for it is "bacterial SSU rRNA". It matches the Rfam family "Bacterial small subunit ribosomal RNA", at positions 1 to 359 of the family's 1533-position model. Lineage: Bacteria; Pseudomonadati; Pseudomonadota; Alphaproteobacteria; Hyphomicrobiales; Methylobacteriaceae. The record is from RNAcentral.